CGCCAGCCCGCUCAGAAACUCAAAUGAAUUGACGGGGCCCGCACAAGCGGUGGAGCAUGUGGUUUAAUUCGAUGAUACGCGAGGAACCUACCUGGGCUCGAACGUAAGAUGACUGUAGGUGAAAGCUUACAUCUCUUCGGAGCAUUUUACGAGGUGCUGCAUGGUUGUCGUCAGCUCGUGCCGUGAGGUGUCGGGUUAAGUCCCAUAACGAGCGCAACCCCUACCUUUAGUUGCCAUCAGGUUAAGCUGGGGACUCUAAAGGAACUGCCUACGCAAGUAGUGAGGAAGGCGGGGAUGACGUCAAAUCAGCACGGCCCUUACGUCCAGGGCUACACACGUGCUACAAUGGCCGAUACAGAGGGCAGCUACCUGGUGACAGGAUGCAAAUCUCCAAAGUCGGUCUCAGUUCGGAUCGGAGUCUGCAACCCGACUCCGUGAAGUUGGAUUCGCUAGUAAUCGCGCAUCAGCCAUGGCGCGGUGAAUACGUUCCCGGGCCUU
Molecule: ribosomal RNA, 498 nt
Filed under: uncultured Sphingobacteriales bacterium
Lineage: Bacteria; Pseudomonadati; Bacteroidota; Sphingobacteriia; Sphingobacteriales
Description: bacterial SSU rRNA
Rfam family: Bacterial small subunit ribosomal RNA
Source: RNAcentral